RNAcentral lists this transfer RNA (63 nucleotides) under Hyalomma scupense. RNAcentral's name for it is "tRNA-Val". Lineage: Eukaryota; Metazoa; Arthropoda; Arachnida; Ixodida; Ixodidae. The record is from RNAcentral.
AAAAAUGAAAUCAUUAAAGAUAUUUCAUUUACAAUGAAAAUUAGUAUAAUUAUACCAUUUUUC